Molecule: long non-coding RNA, 1166 nt
Organism: Sceloporus undulatus (fence lizard)
Lineage: Eukaryota; Metazoa; Chordata; Lepidosauria; Squamata; Phrynosomatidae
Exons: 3
Source: RefSeq, a predicted model, not a curated record
CAAGGCCUCAGGGUAUCUAUUUACUUAAUAAUCCAUUGUCUGCUGGGAAACACCCCUCACCCUGAUUGAGUUUCAUUUGCAUAGACUGAGUCUUGAUUUUAGUGUUUUCCAGGACUGGUACCCAAACUUUGUUUCAGGGUUUCUUCUCUGUUGCUCUGUUCUUGAAUGGCAAGGCCUCAGGGUAUCUAUUUAAUGAUCCAUCGUUUACUGGGGAAAAACCCUGACCCUAGGUGAUUUUAAUUUGCAUGGGAUCGGUCUUGAUUCUAGUGUUUUUUCAGUGAGCUAGGGAUGUUUAGCCUGGAGAAGAGAAGGUUAAAAGGUGAAAUGAUAGCCCUGUAUAAAUAAUUGAAGGGAUAUCAUAUUGAAGACGGAGCAAGCUUGUUUUCUGUUGCUUUUAACAGGAUUCACAGCCAUCAACAUCAUUUUAAAGAAGAGAGAGAAAUACAACUUUCCCUAUAAUACACGUAUCGAUGUCAAAGAAUGCCACAAAAGCACCUCCAGGGAAAAGGCUUGGUGAGAGCAAACUGACCUUACCACCAAUUCAUAUCAAACCUGAUGGGAAAUGAUUUUGGGAAAUCGCUCCCAAACGGAAGUAACACCAGCAUUUGAAUAAAGGGCAUGCAACCAAUCUACACAAUCAUACGUUCUUUGUUAUGUGCUGGAAGAAUGGUUGCCCAAACUCCAGGGUUCAGCAAAAAAGAGAAAGAGACAGAAAUGUAGCCAUGCGAUCUUCCCUCCCAUUUCUAAGUUCCAAAACACACUGGACACGUGUGGACAUGCUCCAGUGUGCCCAUAUCUGUUUUGAAUUGUGGUGCCCAGAACUGGACACAGUAUUCCAGGUGGGGCCUGACCAAAGCAGAAUAGAGCAGCACUAUUACUUUCCUUGAUCUAGACACUAUACUUCUAUUGAUUGCAUUGGUCUUUUUAGCUGCCGCAUCGCACUGUUGACUCUGGUUCAACUUGCGGUCUACUUGGUCUACCAUGGUUCUGGUCUUUCAUGAAGGGGUGAACUCAGGUGAUGGUGCUGGGGGACUCCUGUUUGAUACUCUGGACAUUGACCUGUGGGGUCCCUUGGGGUUCAGUUUUGUCCUCCUUGCUGUUUCUACGUGCAGCCGUUGGGAGAUGUCCUCUGGAAUUUGGGUGUCUGGUGUCACCAGUAUGUUGCU